Molecule: ribosomal RNA, 253 nt
Filed under: uncultured bacterium
Lineage: Bacteria
Description: partial 16S ribosomal RNA
Rfam family: Bacterial small subunit ribosomal RNA
Source: RNAcentral
UACAGAGGGUGCAAGCGUUAUUCGGAAUUACUGGGCGUAAAGCGCACGUAGGCGGGUUGUUAAGUCAGGGGUGAAAUCCUGGAGCUCAACUCCAGAACUGCCUUUGAUACUGGCAACCUAGAGGCUGGAAGAGGUUAGUGGAAUUCCCAGUGUAGAGGUGAAAUUCGUAGAUAUUGGGAAGAACACCAGUGGCGAAGGCGGCUAACUGGUCCAGAUCUGACGCUGAGGUGCGAAAGCGUGGGGAGCAAACAGG